Erinaceus europaeus (western European hedgehog) is the source of this 331-nucleotide long non-coding RNA. RefSeq lists it as uncharacterized. NCBI's taxonomy places the organism in Eukaryota, Metazoa, Chordata, Mammalia, Eulipotyphla, Erinaceidae. The record is from RefSeq and is a predicted model, not a curated record. The transcript is spliced from 2 exons.
UGAGCAGGCUAGUGCAGCAGUAUCCACCUGCAGCCUGGCUGGUACCCCUCUGUUGGUGGCUGCGCCCCCAUUCCCAGGUUCCCCAUUCUUCAGCAAGCUGCCCAGGCAUGUCCUCAGGCAGAGAAAAGCAACUGUGGGGAGCGGAUCCAAAGCACGAUCCCUCGGCACGUGACUGAUAGCCAAGCUUCACGGCGGCAUCUUAUAGGAGUCUUGUCCUAAGCGUUUAAAACCCCGAUGCAGAGUUUAUGUUUAUAGCAGAUGUCAAUUGGGAAGCUGAAUUUUCAUUGCAAAUAUUUGCUCUGCAUUUAGAUUUGAUAAAAGGAACUGCUGA